UACGUAGGGGGCUAGCGUUGUCCGGAAUCAUUGGGCGUGAAGCGCGUGUAGGCGGUCCGGUAAGUCCGCUGUGAAAGUCGAGGGCUCAACCCUCGAAUGCCGGUGGAUACUGUCGGGCUAGAGUACGGAAGAGGCGAGUGGAAUUCCUGGUGUAGCGGUGAAAUGCGCAGAUAUCAGGAGGAACACCAAUUGCGAAGGCAGCUCGCUGGGACGUUACUGACGCUGAGACGCGAAAGCGUGGGGAGCAAACAGG
This 253-nucleotide ribosomal RNA is filed under the name uncultured bacterium. RNAcentral describes it as "partial 16S ribosomal RNA". It matches the Rfam family "Bacterial small subunit ribosomal RNA", at positions 524 to 776 of the family's 1533-position model. The record is from RNAcentral.